Danaus plexippus (monarch butterfly) is the source of this 2763-nucleotide long non-coding RNA. RefSeq lists it as uncharacterized. NCBI's taxonomy places the organism in Eukaryota, Metazoa, Arthropoda, Insecta, Lepidoptera, Nymphalidae. The record is from RefSeq and is a predicted model, not a curated record. The transcript is spliced from 3 exons.
UUAAGCAAACAUUGUUGGUAAUUGAAUGUAUUUUCGUUCGUGUUUUUAUUGUAAUAGUGAAAACGUGCCUUAACUUUUGGAAUAUAAUAUUUUUAAAAGCCAAAACGUGUCUCGAAAUCCACUUGUACCUAUAAUGUACACUGUGUUUGAUUGCAAACAGCCUCAUUUUUCUACAUCGCGCGAAAGUGACGGGUGGUGAGGGUUGCAAUAUAUUCUUAAAAUUGGACAUUGACAAGACAAAUAAGUGAAAAAGGGAAAAGAAACCGCGCUACGAAAACGAUUAUAUUAAACCUCAUAAUUAUUCCCUUUAUUAUAUUUACCAAUCAGUCUAAAAAUGUCAAUGCAUCCACAUUUGAUAUGGUUUUGAAGAAAAUAGAACAUUUUUAAAGGAAGAUAUACGAAAAUUACGUCGACGUGUUAAAUGAUUAAAACAUUACAGAAUAUCAAAUUAUUGCUUCACCUGUAACUAAUUGAUUUAAAAAAAGAACAAUUUUAUGUCAUAGCUUCUAACCAUGGAUAUAAGGGUCAAGUUAUUUUUAUACAUCCUUUUUUCUACUUGCUCCGUGGAAUCACAGAGAUAUAUUAAGACAAAUCCUUUUGCUAUAACAGGAAAUCUUAAUCUAUGGAAGGAUUGCACUGACUUCCGUGGCACGACGGGGAUAUGUAUCCAGAGUGACGUCUGUCCAAGAACCAAAAUGAUGGAUGAUGACGAUGAAUGCUUUGAAUACGACAACGACUCCGUUUGCUGUCACAUUGUCCGUCUGAGAAUGCCCAAAGAUAUAUUCAUGAUGUACGGAAAUUAACAGUCCCGUUCCAUCAUAACUUUUUGUCGGCAAUAUUUUUGCGAAAUAUUUCUCCUGUCAUUCAAACGGACUGACACUUGAAUGUAAGUGAAAGAAGUAGUUUGGAAUCGAAACAGAUUAAACAUUAUUUCAUGUGACAUAAUUUCAUAUAUGUAUAAAGAAAUAAUCCAUAGAUUUAGUAUACAUUAAAACAAAAUAAUUUAAAAACUAAAAUACACACUAUUCUCCGCCAAAAUAUUUAUUUAAUACAUACUUUUUUAUAUUCGUAUAAUGAAGUUACCUCUUCAAUUUCUAUAUGAGUAGGUACCAUAAGAUAUUAUGAUUUGCGGAAUUUAGGUUUUUGUGGCUGACGAUAUUCUAUUCAAACUAAAUUUUUAUUCGGAUUUUUUCGUGAUUAUUGAAUCAAAUUUUCUAAGAAAAUAUACUUUAAAACCUCUUUUCUUCUUGAGUAAAUCUGCCUUUAUUAUGUUUCAUAAAAACACAACCUUACUGGAUAUAUUUUCGAGCUGUGCACUACACCAUUAUGUACCUUACUCGGUAAUAAAAUAUGUAAAUGUAAAGAAAAAGAAAAGUAAAAACAUUAAAUGAGACAUAGUUACAACUAUCUGUACACAAUCUUUUCCGCGUCCAAAUACUAAUGGUGAUUAAUAUUGUAAAUCAUUUUUCAUCUUAAAGGUUUAAGAUAAUUGGUAGAUAUAUAGGUUACAUAGGUAUAUAACCUAUAUAUCUACCAAUUAAAGUAUUUCAAACUUCAACUAACGUAUAUAUAUAGAUCAUCCGACUAUACCUGUAUCUAUGUUAAAUGAGUUACAUCUUUCAUUUCAUAGAGCAUUCAAAUUCUAGUUUGAUGAAUUCAUCAAUAUCCGAUAUUGCAAUUUCCUCACCUGCGCUCACUGAACCUUCCAAUUCGUUUCAUAUUGUCACUAACAUUCUAUGACAUUUAUAAACCAUUUUUCAAUACGGAAUCAGUUCUGAAACUGAGCAGGUGAUUGUACAAUACUGUCAUUUUGUUGACUCUCGCCACAAGCGAUUGCCAUCUAGGAAUCUAUUAAUUUUGUUCCAGUUUUCUAACCCCAAGUUUGCGUUGUCACGCUACGUACUGAACGUUAAUAGUUUUUAUUUAAAAAUCUUCACCAUGUUAGUAUAGGAAUUUGCUAUUGAAUGAGAAACGAAAAAAAAACGCUUCACGGGUAGUGUGACGGUGCAACCUACAAUAAGCAUACUGGUUUUAAUUGUGCAUUUAUAUAAUAAUUACUUACUUUACAAUAUAAAAGGUUCAGUAAAACACAAUUAUUCAAUAAUUUUCUUAACCAUUUUACGUUUGGUACAUGUAUAACCAGCAGAAGUAAACAGUCAAGAUUUGAAAGAAAUUUCUUUAAAUUAUCACAAUCAAGAGGAUCAAAAAAAGCAGUAUAAAGGAAAUAGAUAAACGGCGUAAUGAUCAUAACAUUGAAAUUAAUUGAUUGCAGAUGUUAUUUUAUAUAUUAUUGUAUUUAUUAAAUAGAGACGUAAUGGCCAUUUAAAAAUUUAUUACUUACCUUUGCCUCCGUUUAAAUUGUCCAAAAACCAAAAUUCUACUGACAAAGGCAGAACGGAAUCAAGAUUAAAUUGUAAAAUGAUAAAUGAAUUUUUUUUUUUGCAUAUUAAUCUAAAACCAAUCGACGUAUACUUUGGAAGUGUUCCAAUAUGAAAAAUAAAUGCCAAGCAAUAUUUAAAUCCUACAAAGUGAAGACAGAUGAAGAACAAAAUAAUCUCAUUUCAAUUUCCGCAUCGUUCCUCCGAAGAUCAAAAGGUGCACAAAGAUUCAAGCGAUUACACACAACACCUCACGUUCGGAUUGACGAUUUCGUAUUUUCGUGUAAAAAAUAAAACUCUCUGACUCUUAAAUCAUGAUAAUAUUUUGUCUAAUGGAUCCUGAAGUACAUAAUAUUUAAUAAAUAUAAAAUAAUAUCCUAAAAAU